AGCUAGUUGGCGGGGUAAAAGCCCACCAAGGCGACCAUCUGUAGCUGGUCUGAGAGGACGACCAGCCACACUGGGACUGAGACACGGCCCAGACUCCUACGGGAGGCAGCAGUGGGGAAUUUUGGACAAUGGGCGCAAGCCUGAUCCAGCCAUGCCGCGUGUGGGAAGAAGGCCUUCGGGUUGUAAACCACUUUUGUCAGGGAAGAAACGGUUGGAUCUAAUACAUUCGACUAAUGACGGUACCUGAAGAAUAAGCACCGGCUAACUACGUGCCAGCAGCCGCGGUAAUACGUAGGGUGCAAGCGUUAAUCGGAAUUACUGGGCGUAAAGCGUGCGCAGGCGGCUUUGCAAGACAGAUGUGAAAUCCCCGGGCUCAACCUGGGAACUGCAUUUGUGACUGCAAGGCUAGAGUACGGUAGAGGGGGAUGGAAUUCCGCGUGUAGCAGUGAAAUGCGUAGAUAUGCGGAGGAACACCGAUGGCGAAGGCAAUCCCCUGGACCUGUACUGACGCUCAUGCACGAAAGCGUGGGGAGCAAACAGGAUUAGAUACCCUGGUAGUCCACGCCCUAAACGAUGUCAACUGGUUGUUGGGCGGCUUGCUGUUCAGUAACGAAGCUAACGCGUGAAGUUGACCGCCUGGGGAGUACGGCCGCAAGGUUGAAACUCAAAGGAAUUGACGGGGACCUGCACAAGCGGUGGAUGAUGUGGUUUAAUUCGAUGCAACGCGAAAAACCUUACCUACCCUUGACAUGUCUAGAAGUUACCAGAGAUGGUUUCGUGCUCGAAAGAGAACUAGAACACAGGUGCUGCAUGGCCGUCGUCAGCUCGUGUCGUGAGAUGUUGGGUUAAGUCCCGCAACGAGCGCAACCCUUAUCAUUAGUUGCUACGCAAGGGCACUCUAAUGAGACUGCCGGUGACAAACCGGAGGAAGGUGGGGAUGACGUCAGGUCAUCAUGGCCCUUAUGGGUAGGGCUACACACGUCAUACAAUGGCCGGUACAGAGGGCUGCCAACCCGCGAGGGGGAGCUAAUCUCAGAAAACCGGUCGUAGUCCGGAUCGCAGUCUGCAACUCGACUGCGUGAAGUCGGAAUCGCUAGUAAUCGCGGAUCAGCUUGCCGCGGUGAAUACGUUCCCGGGUCUUGUACACACCGCCCGUCACACCAUGGGAGCGGGUUCUGCCAGAAGUAGUUAGCCUAACCGCAAGGAGGGCGAUUACCACGGCAGGGUUCGUGACUGGGGUGAAGUCGGAACAAGGUAGCCGUAUCGGAAGGUGCGGCUG
This 1279-nucleotide ribosomal RNA is filed under the name metagenome. RNAcentral's name for it is "bacterial SSU rRNA". It matches the Rfam family "Bacterial small subunit ribosomal RNA", at positions 243 to 1520 of the family's 1533-position model. The record is from RNAcentral.